Molecule: ribosomal RNA, 764 nt
Filed under: uncultured Bacteroidota bacterium
Lineage: Bacteria; Pseudomonadati; Bacteroidota
Description: bacterial SSU rRNA
Rfam family: Bacterial small subunit ribosomal RNA
Source: RNAcentral
AUGCAAUCUACCUUUUACAGAGGGAUAGCCCAGAGAAAUUUGGAUUAAUACCUCAUAGUAUAGCAGUUUCGCAUGAAACCACUAUUAAAGUCACAACGGUAAAAGAUGAGCAUGCGUCCCAUUAGCUAGUUGGUAAGGUAACGGCUUACCAAGGCUACGAUGGGUAGGGGUCCUGAGAGGGAGAUCCCCCACACUGGUACUGAGACACGGACCAGACUCCUACGGGAGGCAGCAGUGAGGAAUAUUGGACAAUGGGCGCAAGCCUGAUCCAGCCAUGCCGCGUGCAGGAUGACGGUCCUAUGGAUUGUAAACUGCUUUUGUACGAGAAGAAACACUCCUAUGUAUAGGAGCUUGACGGUAUCGUAAGAAUAAGGAUCGGCUAACUCCGUGCCAGCAGCCGCGGUAAUACGGAGGAUCCAAGCGUUAUCCGGAAUCAUUGGGUUUAAAGGGUCCGUAGGCGGUUUAGUAAGUCAGUGGUGAAAGCCCAUCGCUCAACGGUGGAACGGCCAUUGAUACUGCUGAACUUGAAUUAUUAGGAAGUAACUAGAAUAUGUAGUGUAGCGGUGAAAUGCUUAGAGAUUACAUGGAAUACCAAUUGCGAAGGCAGGUUACUACUAAUGGAUUGACGCUGAUGGACGAAAGCGUGGGUAGCGAACAGGAUUAGAUACCCUGGUAGUCCACGCCGUAAACGAUGGAUACUAGCUGUUGGGAGCAAUUUCAGUGGCUAAGCGAAAGUGAUAAGUAUCCCACCUGGGGAGUACGUU